RNAcentral lists this ribosomal RNA (119 nucleotides) under Pteropus alecto (black flying fox). The record is from RNAcentral. Lineage: Eukaryota; Metazoa; Chordata; Mammalia; Chiroptera; Pteropodidae.
GUCUACAGCCAUGCCACCCUGAACAAGGCUGAUCCCAUGUGAUCUCGGAAACUGAGCAGGUUUGGGCCUGGUUAGUACUUGGAUGGGAGACCACCUAGGAAGGCCAUCUGCUGUAGGCA